Molecule: long non-coding RNA, 269 nt
Organism: Saccostrea cuccullata (small rock oyster)
Lineage: Eukaryota; Metazoa; Mollusca; Bivalvia; Ostreida; Ostreidae
Exons: 2
Source: RefSeq, a predicted model, not a curated record
GGUAAGGUUACAGAGGGAAAACAAGGCCUUACGCUGGAUUGCCCCUGCAAAGGGGAAUAACUUUUGAAAAAUUUAAUGUGAAAGUCGUUUAUUUUUUUUUUUUUCAUAUGUUUUUUUUUAACCUCAAGGACAAAAAGUAUACACUUGGAACACAAACAAAAACAGAUGAGUCCAUGCCAAGCUAAAGAUUAAUGCAGAAGAUAAAAGAGAACUGGAGAAGAAUGAAUUGAUGUUAACAUACUCAACAUUAAAUUUGGCUUAAAUCUAAA